RNAcentral lists this ribosomal RNA (290 nucleotides) under uncultured bacterium. RNAcentral's name for it is "partial 16S ribosomal RNA". It matches the Rfam family "Bacterial small subunit ribosomal RNA", at positions 338 to 645 of the family's 1533-position model. The record is from RNAcentral.
CCUCUGGGCGUAGCAGUGGGGAAUAUUGCACAAUGGGGGAAACCCUGAUGCAGCAACGCCGCGUGAGUGAGGAAGUAUUUCGGUAUGUAAAGCUCUAUCAGCAGGGAAUAGAAAAGAAGGUACCUGAAAAAGAAGCCCCGGCUAACUACGUGCCAGCAGCCGCGGUAAUACGUAGGGGGCAAGCGUUAUCCGGAUUUACUGGGUGUAAAGGGGGCGCAGACGGCGAUGCAAGCCAGGAGUGAAAGCCCGGGGCCCAACCCCGGGACUGCUCUUGGAACUGCGUGGCUGGA